This 84-nucleotide transfer RNA is filed under the name Staphylococcus aureus. RNAcentral describes it as "tRNA-Leu". It matches the Rfam family "tRNA". From Rfam's summary of the family: Transfer RNA (tRNA) molecules are approximately 80 nucleotides in length. Their secondary structure includes four short double-helical elements and three loops (D, anti-codon, and T loops). Lineage: Bacteria; Bacillati; Bacillota; Bacilli; Caryophanales; Staphylococcaceae. The record is from RNAcentral.
GCCGGUGUGGCGGAAUUGGCAGACGCGCGGGACUCAAAAUCCCGUUCCGCUUGUGGAGUGUCGGUUCGACCCCGACCACCGGUA